RNAcentral lists this transfer RNA (73 nucleotides) under Lacticaseibacillus nasuensis. Its description in RNAcentral is "tRNA-Thr". It matches the Rfam family "tRNA". Rfam says of the family: Transfer RNA (tRNA) molecules are approximately 80 nucleotides in length. Their secondary structure includes four short double-helical elements and three loops (D, anti-codon, and T loops). Lineage: Bacteria; Bacillati; Bacillota; Bacilli; Lactobacillales; Lactobacillaceae. The record is from RNAcentral. RNAcentral also lists the same sequence under 1 other name.
GCCGUCUUAGCUCAGUUGGCAGAGCAUCUCACUAGUAAUGAGAAGGUCACUGGUUCGAGCCCAGCAGACGGCA